AAGCCGGAUUGCAGAGCCCUCUCUGUUAAGUCCCAAAGGAAAAUGAUAUAGUCUGAGAGUAUGAGCUGAUGGUAGGACACUGUCUUCUUUCUGACACUAUCUUCAUGGAACAUUUUGGUCAUACAGAGAUAAGAGAGAGUCCCAGAAUGACGUCCAAAGGAAUUUCAGGACCGUAAAGCCUGGAACCAUCAGAAAACAUUAGCCAUCUGGAUCACUGAACAAGAGUACUCCUUUGAAAUGUGAAGGAUUCUUAUAUGGAUGUCCACCCCACCCAGAAGGCCAUCAUUGUUGCUGGUAGGAUGUAAUCUACAAUUUGUUGCCUUUACCACCAUGUUAUGCAUUGAUUCCUACAUCAAGAGACACGUGGGGUAUGUGUCAUUUUCCUCCUCUUUACAAACGAGAAAAAUGAGGCUCAGAUUAAAUUACUUGCCCACAUUCAUGCAGCUAGUAAUGGAGAGAUGUGGAAUACAAAGCCAUAUUAUUUCUUAAUUCAAAUGCUGUGUUCUCAGCCACGACGCUAUCAUGGCUCCAAGUAGACAUUUGCUGAUUGAAUGGAGUUGAAUCGCACUACAGGAGCGACUGUGGCUAAGAGCCAAAUGUCUAGUACAGACAGAAAUGUGCAGGAGUAGAGAGAAGGGUGGAUUGCCGGGAGAAAGCGUGGUGCUGUCACACGGGACCGUUGGUGGCCUCGCCAUUGGGUCAAGCAAGCAGUUGGUGCUGGGGAGUAUGGGGAGGGCACACGGGCCUUCCCAGGCAGCUCGAGAAGGAUGAGACCGUAUAGGAAAACUGACUUAAGAUGAACCCUGCCAAAAAGGGCUACUCCGUCACCAGCCUCGUCUGAGGUCAUAUUUCAAAGACUGGCUCGGGGCCACUGGCUGGGGUGCAGGGCUGUGAGAUCAUGGCUGAGCAAUCUGACUUUUAAAAAAUAUAAGGACCAACUUGGGAGUUUUAUCGCUGUUCUGCCGCCCAGGCAUGAAGUCAGCUGGCCUGCUCGUGACAGGGAGCGUUUCACUUGUAAUUAGCUGGGUGGUUUUUUUUUUCUUUUUUUUAAGUUCUGCCUAAACAGUGGUGGGGUGUGAGUGAGCCCGUUCCCUUGGAGCUGCCCCACAGCAGUAGCGGAGAUUUGACUCCAUGAAAGUACAUUAUCGCAAUGUUGGCUUUGUGUGUAAGCAUUGUAUGUGUAUGUAAAAAUGUGGAAACUUCCUCAAUAAAGAGAUGUCCUUUUUGUACAUUUGCACUUGUGACAGACAAAGGAAUGAGGAAAAUGGAGUCCAAUCCUCAUCUAUAUGACUGGAGCAAGGACUUGAAAUGAGAACCCACAAGGGCUUAUUGACUUCCCACCCUGAGACUGGAUCUUGGAGCAACCAACCUGCGGGCAAACUGGAAUCUACAAAGCCACACGCUUCUCCAGGAAGCCUGGUUCUAAUUCUCAAAGUUGCGUGAAUUGACUAGAAGCUCCGGAAGAGGAUUCUCCCCAGGAAAGAGGUAGAAGGAAUCAAAGUAGGUGGAGAAACAAAAACCCAUUCCUUGAAUUCUUAGAAUGACAGUUAUUUCAGAAGAGCACAUUGAGACAUCAAGGCUGGAAAACUCAAAUGAAAACCCCAGCCAGCCUUCCCAACAAGCCCAUGAGGUAUUGCACUGAAUAUUUUUCAUUUUGCAGAUGAGGAAACAGGGUGAAAGAAGUUAAAUAAUUUACCCAGAAACAUCCAGCUAAUAUCUUUAAGGCCUGAGAUUCAACCCAGGUAUAUCACCUUGGAUUCUUAGUUACAAACCACAGAACCCAAUAUUGGUUAGUAGAAACAAAUAAGUGAUUUUUAUAAAAGAUUGAGUGACCCUGGUGAACCAAACAUGAAAUGCUCUCCAAGUCACAGGCUGAAUCACUGAAUUAGUUCAGCACCUUAUACUCCUAAUGUAACCACUAGGUCACUCAUGCUAAAACAUCUCCUAUGCCUGCCUCUGAGAAAUAGAUGUAGCUGUUACCACUCUUGUUUAAACAAAUUUUUGAGCAUAUGGCUUCCUCAGAGGGAAUAAAUUAGUCCAUCGAAAUGGACUGUUUCCUUAGAGUGGGAAAGUGUUCCGAAAUGCUGGGGUGUAAAGACUUUGUUUAUUGUUAGCUGAAUUCCUAAUGCCUACGAAGUGCUUAGCAUGUAAUAGAUGUGUCAUAAGAGCAUAUCAACUUAUUGAUCAAAUAAUUCUAUCCGAUUUUAAAGCUCAUGUCCCUAGACACUAUACCUCUUCACUAUACAUCUUCAUAGAUGGUCCAUGAUGAGAUCUAACACAGAAUAUGUGAUUGCACACCAAUGAAAUUAUAUAAAGUCUCUAUCCUAUAUAAAACUAUCGUCAAUCGUUCACCGAAAUGUGCUGUUGUGAUUUACGACUACGAGCUCUGAGAGACAAGGACAUAUCUAUCUUGUACCAUUAUAUCAUUCAUUUUUAAUACAAGGCUAAAAAUAAUUAUUAAAUAAAUGAGUAGAGUGAUAAAUGAAUGAGUUUAAGAGGCAAGGUAGUCAAGAUUUGGGAAUGCAUGCUAAGGUGGUGCCAAGGAUGGCAUCUCAGUGUUUAGCCUGAACACCUGGUGGGAGGGGGGCUGACAUUUACUGAGCACGGGAAGACAAACAGGCUCUGGGAGGGAGAUCAUGAGUUAGUUUUGGACUUGCUGAACUUUUAUGUCUGGGAGACAUGAAAGUGCAGUGUUGAGUGGCUUGCUGGAUAGAUGGGUCUGGAACUGAGGAGCAAUGUCUGGAAUGGAGGUAUAAAUUUGCGAGUUGUCAGUGUUGAGCUAGUAACUAAGUUGCAGUCAUAGACAUGUAAACAUAUGAUAUAUACAAUACAUGAAACUACAUAUGAAUCUAAAAAUAUUUAAAUAUAAAAUUAAAUACAUGCAUAAACCAUGUAAAUAGUAGAAUUGUUAUUCAUAAUAUUCAGGAACGAAGAAUACAUAACAUUAGACUGAAAAGUUGAUUACUGAUUUACGUGGAAUGGAUACCCAAAUGGUAGAGAUUAUACACUGGAGGUUGGGAUCGUUUAAUCUCCCAGCAGUCUGCCUUCCAGGACAACAUAAACACAGAAUCAGUAGUGUGUCUGUGUAUCAGAGCUCCUCCUGCUGUGUUACUGGACAGGGAAUGUUAGGUAUUUCAGACGAUGUUCGCUGUGUCUUAGGCAUUUCUUUUGUCUGGGAACAUUCUGGGGAAGGAGCACAAAGACAGGGCAAUGGGAAUGUGAAGCUGAGACUCGGAAGGAGGCAGGCAGGAGGUGCACAGGGAAGCCUGCAGAAAAGCUCUGUGGGGACUGAGUCUCAUUGCCAUCCAAGGAGCCGGAGCCUGUGACCAGAGAGAAUCCUUUCUUCUGUCUGUGAAAGGGGAAAGGUGAUCAAGAGGUUAACACUGACUCUUCCCAAGCCUCAUAGCCUGGGAAUGGGCUGAGAACACCUGUGGUCUGAGGUCCUAGCGAUCUUUAAUUACAGACCAUUCAUUCAUCACUGUGAUUGAAAACAAUUGUGGAUUUAGACAGAGCUCAAACCCUUGCCCUGUCACUAAUUUACUGAGCAGCCUUUGAUAAGCAACGUAUUCUCCCCGAACCUCAAUUUACUCACCUUGAUGGAGGGAAAAUAAUAGUAUAAGACACAUCGUGUUUUGGAUAUAGUGAUUAUCUUAAAUUCUUAUGACAAAGUUGAAUCCAGCUCUGCCACCCUGUUACAUGGGUAGUCGCUGGCAGGUUUUGGAUAUGAAGAUGAUAAGCUCUGAUUUGCUAUUGAAAAAGACACCCCUGAUGCCCUAUGGGAGGUCAGAGUGGACACCAGGGGAUCAGAUAAGUGGCUACUGAUCCCCUGAUGUCCACUCCCCUAGUGCAGGCAUGGAAUGACGGUGGAUCAAGAUAGAAGUGAGGUAGAGGAUGGAGAAAUAGGCAUUUCUGGGUUGUUGUAAAGAUUAGUGUUUAUUAGGAACUUAAUAAACAAUAGUUAAUUUAAUAAUUAUCAUUAUAGUUAUGACUUUCAUCCUUAAUAACACUUGUCAAUUGCAGAAAUGCAUUUGGAAAUAUGGCAAAAGCAUGCACAUUUUUGUUAUUUAUGAUGUAUUAAAUAAAUUCUCAUAUAGUGCUUACUUGGCUCUAUACUAAGAACUUGUUAUCAGUCAGAGUUCCCCAGAGAAACAGACCCAAAAGGAGAUAGAUAGAGAUUAGUUAGAUAGAUAGACGAUAGAUGAUAGAUAGAUAGAGAGAGAUAGAGAGAUGAGUUGGCUUACAUGAUUAUGAAGAUUAAGUCCCAAGAUUAGCAGUCAGCAAGGUGGAGACCUGGAAGGACCAAUGGUAUAGUACCAGUCUGAGGCCAAAGACCUGAGAAUCAGAUUCAAUUGAUGG
Long non-coding RNA from Sapajus apella (tufted capuchin), 4356 nucleotides. RefSeq lists it as uncharacterized. Lineage: Eukaryota; Metazoa; Chordata; Mammalia; Primates; Cebidae. The record is from RefSeq and is a predicted model, not a curated record. The transcript has 4 exons.